Molecule: long non-coding RNA, 191 nt
Organism: Myotis davidii
Lineage: Eukaryota; Metazoa; Chordata; Mammalia; Chiroptera; Vespertilionidae
Exons: 3
Source: RefSeq, a predicted model, not a curated record
AGUGCCUGAAAAGAAAAAAGCACCACCUCCUAAAGUUGUAAGGAAGCCAGUAGUUGAAAAAGUUGAAAAGACUUCUCGAAGAAUAGAGGAAGAAACCGUUCAAGUCACAAAAGUACCCGAAGUUUCCAAGAAGAUUGUUCCACAAAAACUCCCUCGGACUCCAGUGCAGGAAGAAGUUGUUGAAGUGAAAG